Molecule: ribosomal RNA, 505 nt
Filed under: uncultured bacterium
Lineage: Bacteria
Description: partial 16S ribosomal RNA
Rfam family: Bacterial small subunit ribosomal RNA
Source: RNAcentral
UGAGGAAUAUUGGUCAAUGGGCGAGAGCCUGAACCAGCCAAAUCGCGUGAAGGAAGACUGCCUUAUGGGUUGUAAACUUCUUUUUAUACAGGAAUAAAAAAGGGGACGUGCUCCCUUAUUGCAUGUACUGUAUGAAUAAGCAUCGGCUAACUCCGUGCCAGCAGCCGCGGUAAUACGGAGGAUGCGAGCGUUAUCCGGAUUUAUUGGGUUUAAAGGGUGCGCAGGCGGGCUUUUAAGUCAGCGGUGAAAUCUCGGGGCUUAACUCCGAAACUGCCGUUGAAACUGGGAGUCUUGAGUAUGGAUGAAGUAGGCGGAAUUCGUUGUGUAGCGGUGACAUGCUUAGAUAUAACGAGGCAACUCCGAUUGCGUAGGCAGCUUACUAAGCCAUAACUGACGCUCAAGCACGAAAGCGUGGGGGAUCAAAACAGGAUUAGAUACCCCUGGGUAGUCCACGCCGUAAACGAUGAUUACUAGUUGUAUGCGAUAUACCGUAUGUGACUAAGCG